RNAcentral lists this ribosomal RNA (253 nucleotides) under uncultured bacterium. RNAcentral's name for it is "partial 16S ribosomal RNA". It matches the Rfam family "Bacterial small subunit ribosomal RNA", at positions 524 to 776 of the family's 1533-position model. The record is from RNAcentral.
UACGAAGGGGGCGAGCGUUGUCCGGAAUUACUGGGCGUAAAGGGCGCGUAGGCGGUCCUUCAAGUCAGGUGUGAAAGCCCCGGGCUCAACCUGGGAACCGCGCUUGAGACUGGCGGACUCGAGUUCGGGAGAGGAUGGUGGAAUUCCCAGUGUAGAGGUGAAAUUCGUAGAUAUUGGGAAGAACACCGAUGGCGAAGGCAGCCAUCUGGACCGACACUGACGCUGAGGCGCGAAAGCGUGGGGAGCAAACAGG